This is a long non-coding RNA of Aedes aegypti (yellow fever mosquito), 172 nucleotides long. RefSeq lists it as uncharacterized. Lineage: Eukaryota; Metazoa; Arthropoda; Insecta; Diptera; Culicidae. The transcript is spliced from 2 exons. The record is from RefSeq and is a predicted model, not a curated record.
CGCUCUAUUAUGCAAUAAUGGCUGAAAAAUCUCAGAAAUAUCUUACCUAUCGUAAUGUUCUCAAUGGCCUCAAAGGUUUACGCAUGAGUUCAAAACGUUAUUUCACAUAUUCAGUGAAAUAUAUCAAUUGUUUUCACUUACCCCAUUUACCCACUUGCCCCGCGGUACCUUA